RNAcentral lists this ribosomal RNA (459 nucleotides) under uncultured bacterium. RNAcentral describes it as "partial 16S ribosomal RNA". It matches the Rfam family "Bacterial small subunit ribosomal RNA", at positions 339 to 795 of the family's 1533-position model. The record is from RNAcentral.
CUACGGGACGCUCCAGUAAGGAAUAUUGCGCAAUGGAGGCAACUCUGACGCAGCCAUGCCGCGUGCAGGAAGAAGGCCUUAUGGGUCGCAAACUGCUUUUAUUUAGGAAUAAACCCCCGAACGUGUUCGGGGCUGAAGGUACUAAACGAAUAAGCACCGGCUAACUCCGUGCCAGCAGCCGCGGUAAUACGGAGGGUGCAAGCGUUAUCCGGAUUUAUUGGGUUUAAAGGGUGCGCAGGCGGGCUAUUAAGUCAGUGGUGAAAUCCCGGGGCUCAACUCCGGAACUGCCAUUGAUACUGAUAGUCUUGAGUUUGGUUGAAGUGGGCGGAAUGUAGCAUGUAGCGGUGAAAUGCAUAGAUAUGCUACAGAACACCAAUCGCGAAGGCAGCUCACUAAGCCAAAACUGACGCUCAUGCACGAAAGCGUGGGGAUCAAACAGGAUUAGAUACCCGGGUAGUC